RNAcentral lists this small RNA (2650 nucleotides) under Caenorhabditis elegans. RNAcentral describes it as "Unclassified non-coding RNA Y47G6A.41". Lineage: Eukaryota; Metazoa; Nematoda; Chromadorea; Rhabditida; Rhabditidae. The record is from RNAcentral.
AUCAAUUCGGCCGGGAUUCUGCGUGCCGGACCAGUUCUCGAUUCUGGAAUUGAAGUCUACGAUGAGCUAAUGAAUGUGAAUGUUCGUAGUUUGAUCCGCCUGACACGUGCAGCUCUUCCACAUAUUAUUACAACAAAAGGAACUGUUGUCAAUGUCAGCAGUAUUAAUGGACCGUGCCCUGUAUGAUGUUAUUUUUUUGUUGAAAAUAAUUUUCAAAUUCGCAAUUUUCAGUUCCCAAAUGUAACCUAUUACUGUAUGUCCAAGUCGGCCGUAGAUCAAUUCACAAAAUGUUUGGCUCUCGAAAUGGCUCCGAAUGGAGUUCGUGUUAAUGCUGUUUGGUGAGUUUUCUCGCGAUUUUUGCCAAAAAACUACGGUGCCAGGUCUCGAAGCGAUCGAUUCUCUUUAAGGAGUACUGUAAUUACGAUUUUUUCGGUUUUUAGGUUUUUUAAAGAAAUAUUCGAAAAAUAAGAAAACAUAUACAUUUCUUCCAAAAAGAAGAAAAAUUGUCAAAAUUUCAAGAUAUUUUGCGAAAAAUCGGAAAAAUAUUUAUUUUUGAAAUCGAAAAUAUUUUUGGCUUUUUUUUUUUCGAAAAAUCGAAAAAUUAUCGGAAAAUAUGAGUAAGAACGAAAUCACAAAAAAAAACUAGGAAAAUUUCCUGAAAAUUCUAACUUUUUGCCGAAUUUUCAUAGGUUUUCUUGUUUUUGUUCAAAUUUUGAUGCAUUUUUAUAUUUUUUGAAUAAAAACGAAUUUUUUAAAAGACAGGAGCUAAACUAUGGAAAAUUGCUUUAAAAAUCUCGCAAAAACUAGGAGUAAGUAACUACAGUACACUACAGUACUCCUUUAAAGGCGCACGCACUUUUGAAUUGAAAAAAAAAAGAUCGCUUCGAGACCGGUUACCGUAUUUUGGUGCAAAAAUCGCUAACUUUCUCAUUUUUUGUCGAAUGAAACGCUAACAACACACGUAUUACGGGAACACAAAAUUUUGGGAAUUCGUCUUACGCAACAUAUUUGACGCGCAAAAUAUCAAAACUACAGUAAUCCUUUAACUGACUACUGUACUGCUUGUGUCGAUUUACGGGCUCGAUUUUGGAAAUUAAUUUAUUUUCUUCGUUUCUUCGUAUUAUUUUCUCAUUUUCAAUAAUCUUUUGAUAAAUAAAAAAACCCGUAAAUCGGCACAAGUGCAACAGUAGUCAUUUAAAGAAUUACUGUAGUUUUGAUAUUUUGCGCGUCACAUAUGAUGCGCAAUACGCAUUCUCAAAAUAUUGUGUUCCCUUAAUAAACCCAUAUAAAUUUGUCAUUUCUCCAAAAAUUUCAGCCCAGGGGUCACCGUGACCAACCUGCAUCGUACAUCUGGUCAAGACGAGACAACAUAUUCUGCGGUAUAAAACCUGCUGCACUGACCUUGACAAAUAAAUAUCAUCAUUUCUUUCAGUUCUUGGAACGUAGUAAAACGACACACGCACUCGGCCGUCCCGGUGAUGCCAAUGAAGUUGCUGAGGCAAUCUAUUUCCUCGCCUCUGAGAAAAGUUCAUUCACUACUGGAGAACUUCUUCGUGUUGACGGAGGCCGCGGAAUCAUGCAUCCGAGAUAAAUAUUAGCUUUUUUGUCUCAUAUUGAGAUUGUUUUGAACUUUUAUCAUGUAAUAAAUAGAGAGAUACAUGUAUUUUUUUUAAUUGUGUUUUUAUUGAAUCCUUUAUAGUGGUUUUUUCCUUGCUUAAUUUUUUUUUUUUUUGAAAAAAAAUCGAUUUUUUUUUGAUUCAGUUUUGAAUUUAUUCAGAGUAUCCGAAAAUGCCAGUCGCCAUCAUCACCGGAGCAAGUUCGGGAAUCGGAAAAGGCACGGCUCUUCUGUUCGCGAAAAAAAAGUACCAACUCUCGCUGACCGGAAGAAAUACGGAUUCUUUGAAGGAAGUCGCAGCACUAUGUAUUUCAGAGGGUGCAAUUUCGGCUGAUGAUGUGAGUUUUAUAUUUUAGGAACUGUGACGGAAAGUACAGUAUUACGGGAACACAGAAUUCUGAGAUUGCGUAUUGCGCAACAUAUUUGACGCGCAAAAUAUCUCGUAGCGAAAACUACAGUAAUCCUUCAAAUUACUACUGUAACUCUGGUGUCGUAAAUCAACACAAGCGCUACAGUAGUCAUUUAAAGAAUUACUGUAGUUUUGAUAUUUUGCGCGUCAAUUAUGUUGUGCAUUACGCAUUCUCAGAAUUUUGUGUUCUCAUGAUAGCAGUUAUCACAAAAAAAUUUCGAUUUUUUUUCCUCGUUUGUAAUUUUUGGAAACACCGUUUUUUUGUCGAAAAAACAAAAAAAAUUAUUUUUUUAAUUAAAAAAAACCGCCGCCAUGGUCUUGACACAUACAAAAAAAAAUAUUAAAACUCAUCGAAUAUCAAGAAGUAUACUAAAAAUCAUUAAAAAUUACAAACACUUGCAGGUACUGUAGCUAUGAAUUUUAUUAUGUCGUUUCGAGACCAAAAAUCGCAAAAUUUUGCAAAAAAAGGGGAUUGAACGUUUUUAGGUGGAAAAAAUAGCGACAUCAAUUAAAAAAUCGAUUUUCAUUCCAGAUUCUGAUAACUGCAGUGGAGCUGAGCUCUGAUGAGGCGCCCAAAGCAAUUGUGGAUGCAACUGUACAAAAAUUCGGAAGAAUUGACUCAUUGG